UUUUCAACAUCUCUACUCUUUAUUUAUCAUCUCUUGCAUCCCUAUAAAAUUGACUCCAAAACAUCAAAAUAUUACCUGGAAAUCACAAAUUUAUUUUAAUAACAAAGAAAUAAUGAAUUCCAUCUCUUCUCUUUGCUGUCUUCUUUCUCUCCGCUUCUGCUAUCCGAGUGAAUUAUGCAGAAGUAGAGACGUGCAGCGAUUGCCACAAUUUGAUUGUGCAGAAGAAAUAAAGCUAACUUGCCGAUUGGGCACGCUGCUGCGGGAUCGCUCAAGAAGCUGCCCUUCUGCAAAUUCAACGCAUCUCUCAAUAUUGACUAGGCUCAAUUAUUUUUUAGUAAUUUUAAUUUUUCUUAUGUUUUCAUAUUCUUUUUUUUUGGAUACUCAAAUGUUUUAUAUUUCAGUAUAAUAUUUAUAUAAUAUUUAAUUUUUCAGUCGACAAAGAAAAAGAUCUUACUUAAAUUAAAAUGUAUAUCUAUCACUAAUUUAAGUCUAAAAGUGCUUAAAUUUUCUAUUUCAAUUUAACUGCAUCAUAUAAUUAAUUAUUUUUUUUAUUUUUAAUUUAAUUUGAAAAAAAGAAAAAAAGUUUAAAAUUUUGACUUAAUUAGAGUAUUUUGCUCGAGACGGUGUUAUAUUAAAUAUUUUUAUAAAUUCAAACUUGACUUAAUAGCUAGUAGAACCAUCAAGUAUUGAAAUUUCUAUUUUAAAGUUAAUUAUAAAAAAAUUACUAUAUUAUUUAUUUUAGAUUUAUGUGAUGUUAUUAUUUCAGAUUUACAUUCAAUUUCAAAUUAAACAAUUAUGCGAGUAAUUAACUAAAACAUGCCUUGUAUCAUCGGAAAGCAAUAUAAAAAAAUAUUAUCAUAAAAAGAAAGAAAAAAAAAAUAAAAAAUGAAGGGUGAUUGUGCUGUAGAUUAUUGCCAAUUUGGUUGUUGCGAAUGGCACGCUGCUGCGGGGUCGCUGAAGAAGAUGCCCUCUUUCAAUAUGAUCCUUGCCAUUAUGGUUGUUGCGAAUGGCAACGACAAGGUACGGUUUGUUCACGGUGUUAUGUGGCCGCACAAGAAGAUGCCCUAUUGCAAAAUAAACAUAUCUAUGAAGAUGGUGGAGAUAAACAAGCAUGGUGGUAGAAAGUUAAAAGAAAAGAAAAGUGAAGCCAGGCCCUAAAAUCAGAUGAAACGCAUCUGUGGAGUAGAUGCAUUAUGUGUAUGUAGUAUAAUGUAAAUAUAUGUGUAUAACAAGAUGAGGAACAAUAGAAGACAAUAGUCCUUGCAGCUUUCACACUUCCUCUGUACUUCCUUUUUGUGGUUCUAAUAUAUAAAAAGAAAAGGAAAAGAAAAGUUGCUAGUUA
Ricinus communis (castor bean) is the source of this 1342-nucleotide long non-coding RNA. RefSeq lists it as uncharacterized. Lineage: Eukaryota; Viridiplantae; Streptophyta; Magnoliopsida; Malpighiales; Euphorbiaceae. The record is from RefSeq and is a predicted model, not a curated record. The transcript is spliced from 4 exons.